UACAAUUAUAGACAAAAAAUGAGACAUUAUCAUAACACUCUAAAUAUCAUCUCAUAAUCACAAUAUAGACAUCAAUUAAUAUUUAUACCAUCAUCUCAUCACAUCACAUGUGAAUUACCAAAAACGUACCCUCUGACUAAAAUAUGUAAUCCACCUCUCGAGUUAAGCACUUUAGCCACGGGCCUUUGGCCCCCUUUGUGAACGAAAGCGGAUCUCAUGACCUCUGAUAAUCAAUUAUAAAAUACGACCAAGACCCCUCAAUAAACUAUAUGUAUGCAGUCACGAUCCCUUCAUUACCAAUCGACCUCUCAAUGUAGUAUAAACACGACAAAAGUCUCUCAGUAAACUAGAAGAAAUAUAUAAUCACAUGUACUUUCCUGGUCGAUCUCAAGAUCGCAUAAUUCACAAUGUAUCUUAUACCACCUUUGAAAGUUCACAUGUAUCAUAAUAAAAGAUAAUUUUAUAAUAAUCAUAUAAUUCGAACACAUAAUUGCACAUACUUUAAUAAUAUACUUAAUUCAUAAAUAUUUUAAAAAUAUUUAUAUUUUUCCCUUCACAGAUCCAUGGAUAGAAAUCUGGCAACGAGUCAUUCCAAACUUUCAUGUCUCUACCACUUUAAAAUAAGUACGUUGAAGAAGUAAAGAACCCAAACUUACAAAAAUCAUCAACCUCUUUCAUUUCCUUUCGUUUCUUCCUUUUUCCUUUCUUUUUCUCCCUCUAUUUAUCCAGUUUCGUUCUCUG
Molecule: long non-coding RNA, 741 nt
Filed under: Olea europaea subsp. europaea
Lineage: Eukaryota; Viridiplantae; Streptophyta; Magnoliopsida; Lamiales; Oleaceae
Source: RNAcentral